AGGAACCUGUCUUUGGGCGGGGGACAACAGUGGGAAACGACUGCUAAUACCGCAUGACACUGUAGUAUCGCAUGAUACAUAAGUCAAAGAUUUAUUGCUGAAAGAUGGCCUCGCGUCUGAUUAGCUAGUUGGUGGGGUAACGGCCCACCAAGGCGACGAUCAGUAGCCGGACUGAGAGGUUGACCGGCCGCAUUGGGACUGAGAUACGGCCCAGACUCCUACGGGAGGCAGCAGUGGGGAAUAUUGGGCAAUGGGCGAAAGCCUGACCCAGCAACGCCGCGUGAAGGAAGAAGGCCUUCGGGUUGUAAACUUCUUUUACCAGGGACGAACACAAUGACGGUACCUGGAGAAAAAGCAACGGCUAACUACGUGCCAGCAGCCGCGGUAAUACGUAGGUUGCAAGCGUUGUCCGGAAUUACUGGGUGUAAAGGGCGUGUAGGCGGAGAUGCAAGUCGGGAGUGAAAUCCAUGGGCUCAACCCAUGAACUGCUCUCGAAACUGUAUCCCUUGAGUAUCGGAGAGGCAAGCGGAAUUCCUAGUGUAGCGGUGAAAUGCGUAGAUAUUAGGAGGAACACCAGUGGCGAAGGCGGCUUGCUGGACGACAACUGACGCUGAGGCGCGAAAGCGUGGGGAGCAAACAGGAUUAGAUACCCUAGUAGUCCACGCUGUAAACGAUGAAUACUAGGUGUGGGAGGACUGACCCCUUCCGUGCCGCAGUUAACACAAUAAGUAUUCCACCUGGGGAGUACGACCGCAAGGUUGAAACUCAAAGGAAUUGACGGGGGCCCGCACAAGCAGUGGAUUAUGUGGUUUAAUUCGACGCAACGCGAAGAACCUUACCAGGAUUUGACAUCCAACUAACGAAGUAGAGAUACAUUAGGUGCCCUUCGGGGAAAGUUGAGACAGGUGGUGCAUGGUUGUCGUCAGCUCGUGUCGUGAGAUGUUGGGUUAAGUCCCGCAACGAGCGCAACCCCUAUUGUUAGUUGCUACGCGAGAGCACUCUAGCGAGACUGCCGUUGACAAAACGGAGGAAGGCGGGGACGACGUCAAAUCAUCAUGCCCCUUAUGUCCUGGGCUACACACGUAAUACAAUGGCCGUCAACAAAGGGAAGCGAUACCGUGAGGUGGAGCAAACCCCCAAAAACGGUCUCAGUUCGGAUUGCAGGCUGCAAU
RNAcentral lists this ribosomal RNA (1172 nucleotides) under uncultured bacterium. RNAcentral describes it as "bacterial SSU rRNA". It matches the Rfam family "Bacterial small subunit ribosomal RNA", at positions 120 to 1311 of the family's 1533-position model. The record is from RNAcentral.